CAGCCGUAAACUAUGCGCGUUAGGUGUAUCGGUGACCACGAGUUACCGAGGUGCCGAAGGGAAACCGUGAAACGUGCCGCCUGGGAAGUACGGUCGCAAGGCUGAAACUUAAAGGAAUUGGCGGGGGAGCACCACAACAGGUGGAGCCUGCGGUUUAAUUGGACUCAACGCCGGGAAGCUCACCGGAUAGGACAGCAGAAUGAUUGCCGGGCUGAAGACCCUGCAUGACUAGCUGAGAGGUGGGUGCAUGGCGUCAGUGACU
RNAcentral lists this ribosomal RNA (262 nucleotides) under uncultured archaeon. RNAcentral describes it as "partial 16S ribosomal RNA". It matches the Rfam family "Archaeal small subunit ribosomal RNA", at positions 748 to 1008 of the family's 1478-position model. The record is from RNAcentral.